Molecule: long non-coding RNA, 405 nt
Organism: Gasterosteus aculeatus aculeatus (three-spined stickleback)
Lineage: Eukaryota; Metazoa; Chordata; Actinopteri; Perciformes; Gasterosteidae
Source: Ensembl
CGAGAUCCUCAGCACCGCCGCCAAAGAGCGAGCUGAGAGUCUCUCUGAAGGAAAGAGCUGCAAAGCUCCGACGGUGCAGCAGAGGAACCAGCUGGAGGAGCUGCGCAAGUUCGGCAAGGAGUUCAGGCUGCAGCCCGCCUCCUGUCCGUCAGCAAGCCCCGCCUCCGCCGAGCCUCCUCAGCACAGCGCCGCCCCCGCCCCGCCCAAACCUGCCUCCUCCUCCUCCGCCCAAGACCCCCACCAAGGCGUAUCCUCCGGGCCUGAGGGUCCGGCGCCGGAGGGGCAGCAGCCGACGCCCCCCGGCGGCGAAGAGCGAGGCGAGCGACCCGAAGCCGCAGCCACAGCCCAAGUGAAGAACUCCACCCUGAACCCCAACGCCAAGGAGUUCCUCCCCGUGAAGGUGCC